AAAUAUUUCAUUGACGUACAUAGUUAGCUAUACCAAUUAAACUACAUAUGGUAGCUUACACACAUUGUGCAAAUGGACUAACCUUAAUAAACUUUCAAAAAGCUUAUCUACCCCAAGGGUAGUCCAAGAACACUUACCUCAGCGUUCAACCUUUCACAACACCAAUGUCCUAUAUUACACUUAGCUAGGAAACUAGGCCAUAGAAAACAGUAAAAGGAGCGGCAAAAUUGGUGCCAGCAGUCGCGGUUAUACCAAUACUCCAAGCUAAUUAAAACAAAUCGGGAUAACUACUUAACCUAAAAAGACUAUAAAAUUAACUUUUAACGUAAAAAAUAAAUUAAAACUAAACCCAAUCCAGUCAUUACCUAGUUACCCCAACAAACCACAACCUCAGAACUCGGAUUAGAUACCCGACUACUGUGUGGCCCAACACAAAAAAAGAAUACUACGAGCGAAAGCUUAAACCUCAAACAAUGUGGCGGUGCUUUACUCCUUAUCAGGGGAUCCUGUGGCUUAAUUCGAUAAUCCACGAAAAUCUUAGCUUAUUUCUUGUACUUCAGCUUGUGUAUGGCCGUUUAUGCUUGCUCAAAGAAGAAAAAAAAGGAAGCAAUAGAGCCUUUAGCUCAAAAAUUCAGGUGACAUACAGCCAAUGAAAAGCAGAUCUAUGGGAUACAAAUAAACACACUAGCGAACUUAGGGUUUCAAAACCCUAACAAAGGAGGACUUGAAAGUAAGGUUUUUAGCUUACAUAAAAUAAAUCUGAACAAGAACUAAAGCGCGCACAAAUCGCCCGUCACUCCGACAAUAAAGUAGGAUAAGUCGUAACAUAGUAGGGGUAAUGGAAAUUGCCCCUAUCACA
This 859-nucleotide ribosomal RNA is filed under the name Cuneopsis heudei. RNAcentral describes it as "12S ribosomal RNA". The record is from RNAcentral. Lineage: Eukaryota; Metazoa; Mollusca; Bivalvia; Unionida; Unionidae.